UUUCGCAAUGCCCGAAAGGGUGACGAAGCGACGCCGCGUGCGGGAAGAAGGCCUUCGGGUUGUAAACCGCUGUCGGGAGUUAAGAAAUGCAAGGAUGUUAAUAGCGUUCUUGCUUGACUAAGGCUCCGGAGGAAGCCACGGCUAACUCUGUGCCAGCAGCCGCGGUAAUACAGAGGCGGCAAGCGUUGUUCGGAAUUAUUGGGCGUAAAGAGCACGUAGGCGGCUCUGCAAGUCAGCUGUGAAAGCCUUCUGCUUAACGGAAGAACAGCAGUUGAAACUACAGGGCUUGAGUGCGGGAGGGGAGAGUGGAACUUCUGGUGGAGCGGUGAAAUGCGUAGAUAUCAGAAGGAACGCCGGCGGCGAAAGCGGCUCUCUGGUCCGUAACUGACGCUGAGUGUGCGAAAGCUAGGGGAGCAAACGGGAUUAGAUACCCCGGUAGUCCUAGCCGUAAACGAUGGGCACUAAGUAGAGGGGUUUU
This 478-nucleotide ribosomal RNA is filed under the name uncultured Planctomycetales bacterium. Its description in RNAcentral is "bacterial SSU rRNA". It matches the Rfam family "Bacterial small subunit ribosomal RNA", at positions 364 to 832 of the family's 1533-position model. The record is from RNAcentral. Lineage: Bacteria; Pseudomonadati; Planctomycetota; Planctomycetia; Planctomycetales.